UUUUAGUCCCCUGCCCUUUGUACACACCGCCCGUCGCUACUACCGAUUGAAUGGCUUUGUGAGGCCUCCGGAUCUGGCUAGCCUCGAGGGCAACCUCGUCGCAGGCCGGAGAAGCUGGUCAAACUUGGUCAUUUUGAGGAAGUAAAAGUCGUAACAAGGUUUCCGUAGGUGAACCUGCGGAAGGAUCAUUUAAAUACUUUUCAAAACUUUGUUUUGAAUUUAAAGCAACCACCGUUUAGUUCAAAAAUCUAAAACAAAACUUUCAACAACGGAUCUCUUGGUUCUCGCAUCGAUGAAGAACGCAGCGAAUUGCGAUACGUAGUAUGACUUGCAGACGUGAAUCAUCGAAUCUUUGAACGCAUAUUGCGCCUUGGGGCAUUCCCCAAGGCAUGCCUGUUUGAGCGUGAUAUCUUCUCACCGUUGGUGGAUUUGUUUCUAAAUAUCAUGCCACAGUGAAGUCUACGCUUUCACUGCUUUUUCCCCUCAAAUCAGGUAGGACUACCCGCUGAACUUUAGCAUAUCAAUAAGCGGAGGAAAAGAAACCAACAGGGAUUGCCUCAGUAACGGCGAGUGAAGCGGCAAGAGCUCAACUUUGGAAUCGCUGCGGCGAGUUGUAGUCUGGAGGUGGCCGGUCCCGGCGCCAGC
Molecule: ribosomal RNA, 645 nt
Filed under: Candidozyma haemuli
Lineage: Eukaryota; Fungi; Ascomycota; Pichiomycetes; Serinales; Metschnikowiaceae
Description: eukaryotic LSU rRNA
Rfam family: Eukaryotic small subunit ribosomal RNA (bases 1-191)
Source: RNAcentral